This 459-nucleotide ribosomal RNA is filed under the name uncultured bacterium. RNAcentral describes it as "partial 16S ribosomal RNA". It matches the Rfam family "Bacterial small subunit ribosomal RNA", at positions 338 to 795 of the family's 1533-position model. The record is from RNAcentral.
CCUACGGGCGGCAGCAGUGAGGAAUAUUGGUCAAUGGGCGGGAGCCUGAACCAGCCAAGCCGCGUGAGGGAAGAAGGUACAGCGUAUCGUAAACCUCUUUUGUCAGGGAACAAAGGCGGGGACUAGUCCCCGGAUGAGGGUACCUGAAGAAAAAGCAUAGGCUAACUCCGUGCCAGCAGCCGCGGUAAUACGGGGGAUGCGAGCGUUAUCCGGAUUUAUUGGGUUGAAAGGGUGCGCAGGCGGCCUGUUAAGUCAGCGGGAAAAGCCCGGGGCUCAACCCCGGCGAGCCGUUGAAACUGGCGGGCUGGAGUUGGAGAGAAGUACGCGGAAUGCGCGGUGUAGCGGUGAAAUGCUUAGAUAUCGCGCAGAACCCCGAUUGCGAAGGCAGCGUACCGGCUCCACACUGACGCUGAGGCACGAAAGCGUGGGUAUCGAACAGGAUUAGAUACCCUGGUAGUC